This 293-nucleotide ribosomal RNA is filed under the name uncultured bacterium. RNAcentral's name for it is "partial 16S ribosomal RNA". It matches the Rfam family "Bacterial small subunit ribosomal RNA", at positions 775 to 1067 of the family's 1533-position model. The record is from RNAcentral.
GGAUUAGAUACCCUGGUAGUCCACGCCGUAAACGAUGUCUACUAGUUGUUGGGAGACUUGUUCUCUUAGUAACGAAGCUAACGCGAUAAGUAGACCGCCUGGGGAGUACGGCCGCAAGGUUAAAACUCAAAUGAAUUGACGGGGGCCCGCACAAGCGGUGGAGCAUGUGGUUUAAUUCGAUGCAACGCGAAGAACCUUACCUGGUCUUGACAUCCCAAGAAUCCUUUGGAGACAGAGGAGUGCCUUCGGGAACUUGGAGACAGGUGCUGCAUGGCUGUCGUCAGCUCGUGCCG